GAUGAACGCUGGCGGUGUGCCUAACACAUGCAAGUCGAACGAGAUGCGUAUCGGAAAGCUUCGGCCGGAAGAUGCGUUAUCUAGUGGCGGACGGGUGAGUAACACGUGGGUAACCUGCCUUAUGGAGGGGGAUAACAGAGAGAAAUCACUGCUAAUACCGCAUAAGCACACAGUACCGCAUGGUAGAGUGUGAAAAGAUUUAUCGCCAUAAGAUGGACCCGCGUCUGAUUAGCCAGUUGGCAGGGUAAAAGCCUACCAAAGCGACGAUCAGUAGCCGAUCUGAGAGGAUGACCGGCCACAUUGGGACUGAGACACGGCCCAAACUCCUACGGGAGGCAGCAGUGGGGAAUAUUGCACAAUGGGGGAAACCCUGAUGCAGCGACGCCGCGUGAGUGAAGAAGUAUUUCGGUAUGUAAAGCUCUAUCAGCAGGGAAGAUAA
RNAcentral lists this ribosomal RNA (439 nucleotides) under Oribacterium sinus. RNAcentral describes it as "bacterial SSU rRNA". It matches the Rfam family "Bacterial small subunit ribosomal RNA", at positions 28 to 451 of the family's 1533-position model. The record is from RNAcentral. Lineage: Bacteria; Bacillati; Bacillota; Clostridia; Lachnospirales; Lachnospiraceae.